Molecule: small nucleolar RNA, 80 nt
Filed under: Metarhizium album ARSEF 1941
Lineage: Eukaryota; Fungi; Ascomycota; Sordariomycetes; Hypocreales; Clavicipitaceae
Source: RNAcentral
UUAUGAUGACACAGAUGACGAGUCUUAUUUGAGUUUUCAAUGCAGACACUAUAUUCUUUACCAUUCAUGCUUUCCUGAAA